GAUGAACGCUAGCGGCAGGCUUAACACAUGCAAGUCGAGGGGCAGCGUGGAGCAGCAAUGCUCUGACGGCGACCGGCGGAAGGGUGCGUAACACGUGAGCGACUUGCCCGUCACAGGGGGAUAACCGGCGGAAACGGCGACUAAUACCCCAUAUGAUGCGAUGCUGCAUGGCAUUGCAUUGAAAGAUUCAUCGGUGGCGGAUAGGCUCGCGGGACAUUAGCUAGACGGCGGGGCAACGGCCCACCGUGGCGACGAUGUCUAGGGGGUUCUGAGAGGAAGGCCCCCCCANACUGGGACUGAGACACGGCCCAGACUCCUACGGGAGCAGCAGUGA
Molecule: ribosomal RNA, 334 nt
Filed under: uncultured bacterium
Lineage: Bacteria
Description: bacterial SSU rRNA
Rfam family: Bacterial small subunit ribosomal RNA
Source: RNAcentral